AUACUUACCUUGACAGAAUAUGUAAAUAAAUUGUAAUAAUACAGAGAAGAGUAACAUGGGCUCUACCCAAAGUCGGCUCUCAAAUGUGUGAGGCAUUCCAUAUUGUU
This is a small nuclear RNA of Jaculus jaculus (lesser Egyptian jerboa), 107 nucleotides long. The record is from RefSeq and is a predicted model, not a curated record. NCBI's taxonomy places the organism in Eukaryota, Metazoa, Chordata, Mammalia, Rodentia, Dipodidae.